UGGGAAGAGGACUUUGCUGCUGAAGUGUU
RNAcentral lists this non-coding RNA (29 nucleotides) under Homo sapiens (human). Lineage: Eukaryota; Metazoa; Chordata; Mammalia; Primates; Hominidae. The record is from RNAcentral.